Molecule: ribosomal RNA, 497 nt
Filed under: uncultured bacterium
Lineage: Bacteria
Description: partial 16S ribosomal RNA
Rfam family: Bacterial small subunit ribosomal RNA
Source: RNAcentral
GAUGAACGCUGGCGGCAUGCCUAAUACAUGCAAGUCGAGCGAACAGACGAGGAGCUUGCUCCUCUGACGUUGGCGGCGGACGGGUGAGUAACACGUGGAUAACCUACCUAUAAGACUGGGAUAACUUCGGGAAACCGGAGCUAAUACCGGAUAAUAUAUUGAACCGCAUGGUUCAGUAGUGAAAUACGGUUUUGCUGUCACUUAUAGAUAGAUCCGCGCCGCAUUAGCUAGUUGGUAAGGUAACGGCUUACCAAGGCAACGAUGCGUAGCCGACCUGAGAGGGUGAUCGGCCACACUGGAACUGAGACACGGUCCAGACUCCUACGGGAGGCAGCAGUAGGGAAUCUUCCGCAAUGGGCGAAAGCAUGACGGAGCAACGCCGCGUGAGUGAUGAAGGUCUUCGGAUCGUAAAACUCUGUUAUUAGGGAAGAACAAAUGUGUAAGUAACUAUGCACGUCUUGACGGUACCUAAUCAGAAAGCCACGGCUAACUACGUG